Long non-coding RNA from Neogale vison (American mink), 3069 nucleotides. RefSeq lists it as uncharacterized. NCBI's taxonomy places the organism in Eukaryota, Metazoa, Chordata, Mammalia, Carnivora, Mustelidae. The transcript has 6 exons. The record is from RefSeq and is a predicted model, not a curated record.
GCUUGUGUGCUGGCGUCUGGGAUCGAUUGCCAGAUGCUUUCGCUCAGUCCCGGCGUCCUCCCACCUGGCAGGUCGGAACGCCGGGGAGCCCGGCUGCUCCCCGCCGAGGUUUUUCUCGUUUCUAAGGUGGGGAGCCCUGGCAAAGGAGCUGGUCGUGGUGGACUCGUCAGGGGAUAAAGAUGGAGACCCCUCGUCUGAGUCGGCAGGAAAGAGACCUGUUCCCGCACAGUGGGUGUCACACUAGCCGGGGCCAAGUGCGGCGGCGGUAGCAGAGCGAGGCCCAGUAGCCCACAACCGAGUCUUGCCACUCCACGGCCCACGACGGAGUCUCGCCACUCCACGAGCCGGGAGCCUCCCCGUGGGUGAGGACAGUAGUAGGUAAGUAGGAGGUGUGGGGGGAUCUGUUGACUUUUCUUCUUCUUUUUUUUAAAGAGUGUGUGAGUGGGAAGGAAAGGCAGAGGCAGAGGGAGAAGCAGGCUCUGCACCGAGCAGGGAGCGGAUGCGGAGCCCAUCCCAGGACCCCAGGAUCAGGACCUCAGCUGAAAGCAGACAUUUAACUGACUGAGCCACCCAGCUCACAAAAUGCCUGAAAGCUUAGCAGUUGGCCCCGCUGAGCGACGUGAGCCGCCCCCACUCGGCAGCUUUGUCCUCCUCCUUCUGUGUAAACGAUCUAGUCCUGUGACGUGGGGAUGCUCUGGAACUCCAGUGGGCAGCCAAGAAUUCCAGACCCGUGAGACAUGAAGCCGACCGUCAAAGAUCCGUGGCCAGGAUGUGCUGGAGUCUGAUGAGUUCCGGGGAGGAUGGAUGCUGUUUCAGCCCUGGGGGAUCCAGAGGGCCUGGACAGUGACGUAGGAGGUACAGGGAGCUGCCUCACUGAGGACAUUGGAGUAAAAUCUGAAAAAGGGAAGGUAAACAUCGUCGCGUCCGCGCAGGCGCCGGAACCACGCGCAGGAGCGCUCGCGGCACUGUGGUCCCUGAGAAAGAGACAGAUGUCAGCCGGCAGCGGAACAGACGCCUCAGCUGGGGUAUCGUCACAGAAUGGAAGCUGACAGGACACAAACGAGUCACACUUCUACACAGCAACACAGAUGAAUACACAGAUGAAUCUGCCAAACCGGAUUUUCUGCGAGAAAGACACCAGGCACAAAAGACUGCAUGUUAUGUUUCCUGAUUCAAAAAGUUUAAAGAAGGUUGGGAUCUUCUAAGGACUGUUUUCCAUGAAAGAAUUUUCAGCAUCAGAAUGAACUUGAAAACCUCCAGUUUGCUUUCUAGGUAGGUUCAGGAGCUGCUUAAGUGCUACUCACUGUUUUCAUCUCUCAGUACCAAAAUACUGAAUGAAUAUUUGCUGCACAACCAUGGAGUAUGUAGCAUAUUAGCAGCUUUAUAAAUAAAAGGAUAAAAUCAACCCACAAGAUUUUGGGAGGAGCUGCUGCUGCCAUUGACUGAAUCCUAUUUCCAGUGGUCCCCUUUCUGUGUGGGACAUGGGAUAGUGCGGAUCUGUGGGUCACUUCCCACGUCGCAUGGCUUUACCUAAGAGCAGCCAGGCAGCGCUGGGUUCUUUAGGGGCAGAGGGUCUACACACGCACACCUGGACCUGUGCCCUCUCUGAAGAAUUAGCAGAUACGUGAGCGAUCCUUUAAAAAACACCAAACCCUAUGUGAGUGUGGAAGAGAGUGGCUGCUUACAAAAGCUCCUUCGUCUUCAGUGCACGGGAAUGAGGAUACCUUACCUGCCUCCUUAUCUGUUUCCUCUGUAGUUAGGAUUCCCCAUGUGGAAUGGGACGGUGCCCUGUAAAGAGUUCGGAGGAAAGAAUGAUAAAUUGGUUCAAAGAGAACACCCACUGAUUCUAAGAUCAUAAAACUUAAUCUAGUUUCUUUCACUCAUUGACCUUGAACGUAGCCCGACAUUCACGCCGGGUGAAAGCACAGCGCUCUGAAGAUCUGGUGGGCCCUUCAUAGCUGGUGGGGCUGCUGUGGCCUGAAGUCCGAGCGCAGCGCUCCCUGCGGCUCGCCCGCACGGAAACAGACACUAACGCACCUCCGAAGCUUGUCUAGCUCUGAGCAUUCCACAGUCUUUGAAAAGCUGGAACGGUCAUGAUUGCCCUAAAAUUGGAGCUUAUGGACAGGAAGGGUGGGUGAUCUUUGCCCUCUUUUGGGAAGGAUUGUCAGUCCUCCGUUAACAGUGUGGUGCCAGUGUUUGGACAGAGGGACUGACGCACAACAGGAAGUCCAGAAGUCGACAACACAGGAAUUUUGUAUGCCAUAAAGACAGCACUUUUUUUUUUAAUAGGUUCCACACCCAGUGCAGAGCCAAAGGUGGGGCCCGAACUCAUGACCCUGAGAUGAAGACUCGAUCUGAAAUCAAGAGUUGGACGCUCCACCAACUGAGCCCCCCAGGAGCCCCAUCGACAGCCUUUAUCAUCACUGGGAGUAAAGACGGACUUCAUUAGUGUGAGACGAUGGGAUAAUCGUUUGUAAAACACCAUAUAUACCAGGAUAAACUCCAAAUAGAUCAAAGAUUGACAUGUUAAAAAGAACAGAACAAAAACCCAGGUGAAAAUAGAGGUGAAUUCCUUUGAUUCUUGAAGUGGCAAAGACCCUUCUUAAUAUAUUGCUCAAAAUCCAAAAGCUGUGAAAGAAAAUAUUGACACAUUCAAUUACUGAAAGAUAAGGCCGGGUAGCAACAUUUUUCAAAGUUAAGACAAAGGACUAUCUGAGAAAACACCUGAUACAAAGGGCUCAGCUCUCUGAUACACACACGGAGCUUCCAAAACCAACACGAACUAUUGUUUUAUACGUUGUGUAUCAUGUACCUGUGGGAGGAGAUGGCCACAGGUCCAGGACAGACUGCUAGGUGAACAGCGGUAGAGAACUUGUAUGCAUUCUCCUGUGAGAGGACAAGGAAGAAAAGUGUGUUCUGUUUCUGUUUCCAUAGACACUGGAAAGGGAACUGAGUGGCCAAGGUCAGGGAUGUGGAAGUGGACUUCUCAGUGUAGAUCUCUCCAUGUAAUUUUGAUUUUGUAGCAAACUAUUUAUUAUAAAAUGAAAUAAAAUGAGUGGUGACCAAUGA